Molecule: long non-coding RNA, 1317 nt
Organism: Zeugodacus cucurbitae (melon fly)
Lineage: Eukaryota; Metazoa; Arthropoda; Insecta; Diptera; Tephritidae
Exons: 4
Source: RefSeq, a predicted model, not a curated record
CUGACUUCAUUUGACAGCUAUGUGCUGCCGACUUGAAUCUAUUUUUGAAAAAUACAAUUUAUUGGAAAAUUUAAACGGAUAAAAAUACAAUAAAGUUUAUUAAAUGAAUUAAAAGACCCUAUGAUUUGCAUCCGAAAGCUGACACAUGCUUGAAUUACAAUGCCUAGAAUUUCUAGGUCGUCUACAAUUGAUUGAAAAUUGCUACCCUUUGAAUAUAUUAAGUUAAUAUAAUGUAAAAUGAUAACGAUAACGCGAGAUGAAAGCCUUCAAUGCCAGAUGCAUCCUCUACUAAUUAACUAGAAGAAAUGGAAAUAGUUGGUUCUCUCAGUGAUAAUACGAAUGGAGCUGACACUUUGCAGUCGGAUAUAGCACCACAGCUUAGGAUGGAACUAUGCAAAUCCACUGUGCGUUUUAUGUUGCACAAAUGGAAGAAAGCUACAUAUACAUAUGUAUCUUUAAAGGGACAUAUGUUUAAGCUGUCUUUUGUUAAGAGUCGAGGAAAUGAAAAUGUAUCUAUUGGUUUGAGGAUGCAGUGUGCAAUGUACCACAUUAACUUAUUCAAAUAAUAAAUUCAAAAAUAUUUGUAUGUAUGUAUGUAUAUGUAAAUGUAUUCUUUACCUCAAAGACUUUUCGAGCUACAAAUAUGAAAUAGUACUAUAUCAAAUGUAUAACUAGAAGUCAAUGAAUACUCGAAACAAAGUACUAAGGGCAUACAUUCUCAGUGUUUGCUCAAUCCAUCACUAAAUGUGGACAUACAAAGAACUAAAUUUACACCGAGAGUGUUCAAAUUCUUUAUCAAGACUGCAGUAUUAACAAGAAUUUUGGAUGUUUUGACAUUAAGUUCGUCACAAGUUAAUCAAGUCGGCGGAAGUCUUAAAAAUAGCUUAAGUAAAAUCCUAACCUCAAUUUUAAGUAAAUGCGUAUUCGCCAUCUAUACUUUGCAUUGUACAUAUAUAACUUUACAUACAUAUAUGCUGCCCGAAAACGGCAUUAUAAGCUUACAAUAUACAGAGAUAAAUAUAAUAAUGCUGACUUACAUUCUUAAGAGUCAAAAUAUCAAAUCAGAGUUCCGUGUGAAUCAAAUCAGGGCUAUAUGUAUGCAACGCCCAAACGGAAGGCGGAAAUAAGCCUCAUAAUUCGUUGCUAAAAGAAUUCUUUCAUAACACACACAAACAGUUAUAGCUAAUUGUACGCACAAUUUAAGAAUACAGUUUUUUAUAUAUAUAAAAGCGCCCGACGAAUAAAUACUUUAUAUUACACGCAUACAUUAGACUUAGCUCAUUAACUUUAAACCACUUUUACAACAAUAUUUUCACU